This 372-nucleotide ribosomal RNA is filed under the name uncultured organism. Its description in RNAcentral is "partial 16S ribosomal RNA". It matches the Rfam family "Bacterial small subunit ribosomal RNA", at positions 526 to 896 of the family's 1533-position model. The record is from RNAcentral.
GUAGGGUGGCAAGCGUUGUCCGGAAUUAUUGGGCGUAAAGCGCGCGCAGGCGGUCCUUUAAGUCUGAUGUGAAAGCCCACGGCUCAACCGUGGAGGGUCAUUGGAAACUGGGGGACUUGAGUACAGAAGAGGAAAGCGGAAUUCCAAGUGUAGCGGUGAAAUGCGUAGAGAUUUGGAGGAACACCAGUGGCGAAGGCGGCUUUCUGGUCUGUAACUGACGCUGAGGCGCGAAAGCGUGGGGAGCAAACAGGAUUAGAUACCCUGGUAGUCCACGCCGUAAACGAUGAGUGCUAAGUGUUAGGGGGUUUCCGCCCCUUAGUGCCGCAGCUAACGCAUUAAGCACUCCGCCUGGGGAGUACGGCCGCAAGGCUG